Molecule: ribosomal RNA, 237 nt
Filed under: uncultured bacterium
Lineage: Bacteria
Description: partial 16S ribosomal RNA
Rfam family: Bacterial small subunit ribosomal RNA
Source: RNAcentral
CGGGACGGGUGAGUAACGCGUGGGUAACCUGCCUCAUACAGGGGGAGUAACAGUUGGAAACGGCGCUAAUACCGCAUAAGCGCACAGUACCGCAUGGGGAUAUUUGCUAAAGAUUCAUCGCUGAUAGAUAGGCAUGCGUUCCAUUAGGCAGUUGGCGGGGUAACGGCCCACCAAACCGACGAUGGAUAGGGGUUCUGAGAGGAAGGUCCCCCACAUUGGUACUGAGACACGGACCAA